This 267-nucleotide long non-coding RNA is filed under the name Panax ginseng (ginseng). Its description in RNAcentral is "long non-coding RNA (PGIN_LNC017377)". Lineage: Eukaryota; Viridiplantae; Streptophyta; Magnoliopsida; Apiales; Araliaceae. The record is from RNAcentral.
GGUAUAAAAUAAAUUGCAAAGAGAAGAGCUAGGUACCUCCAAAUUCUGAAUAUUAUCCAAAUGAUUUGAUAUUUGUAGCGAAUUUAAUGAAAGGGAUAAGGAGUGGAAGAGAAACAGCUAGACAUUGAAACGGAUCAGUGCUGAAAGAGGUAGCAAAGGGGGAAGAAACAACCAAAUGUUAAAGCAAAACGGCAACUUAUAGAAAACCGUUUGAAGUUGCAUACAAUGAUACUAGUGUAUCUCUCUCUCUCUCUAUCCCACACGGCC